AGAAUCAACGCUGGCGGCGUGCCUAACACAUGCAAGUCGCACGAGAAAGGGGCUUCGGCUCUGAGUAAAGUGGCGCACGGGUGAGUAACACGUGACUAAUCUACCCUCGAGUGGGGAAUAACCUAGAGAAAUCUGGGCUAAUACCGCAUAACACUUACGAGUCAAAGCAGUAAUGCGCUUGGGGAGGAGGUCGCGGCCGAUUAGCUAGUUGGCGGGGUAAUGGCCCACCAAGGCGAUGAUCGGUAUCCGGCCUGAGAGGGCGCACGGACACACUGGAACUGAAACACGGUCCAGACUCCUACGGGAGGCAGCAGUGGGGAAUUUUGCGCAAUGGGGAAACCCUGACGCAGCAACGCCGCGUGGAGGAUGAAAUAUCUUGGUAUGUAAACUCCUUUCGAUGGGGAAGAUUAUGACGGUACCAUAGAAGAAGCCCGGCUAACUUCGUGCCAGCAGCCGC
Molecule: ribosomal RNA, 457 nt
Filed under: uncultured bacterium
Lineage: Bacteria
Description: SSU rRNA
Rfam family: Bacterial small subunit ribosomal RNA
Source: RNAcentral